GACGAACGCUGGCGGCGUGCCUAACACAUGCAAGUUGAGCGACGAACCAGGGCUUGCCCUGGGGCAAAGCAGCGAACGGGUGAGUAACACGUGGGUAACCUACCCCGAUAACCGGGACAACCCGAGGAAACUCGGGCUAAUACCGGAUGUGCUCACUGGACUUCGGUUCAGUGCGUAAAGGAAGCUUCGGCCUCCGUAUCGGGAGGGGCCCGCGGCCCAUUAGUUUGUUGGUGGGGUAACGGCUCACCAAGACCGCGAUGGGUAGCUGGUCUGAGAGGACGAUCAGCCACACUGGGACUGAGACACGGCCCAGACUCCUACGGGAGGCAGCAGUGGGGAAUCUUGCGCAAUGCGCGAAAGCGUGACGCAGCAACGCCGCGUGGGGGAAGAAGGCCUUCGGGUUGUAAACCCCUUUCAGGAGGGACGAAGGUUCGGCGGUGAAUAGCCGUCCGGACUGACGGUACCUCCACAAGAAGCCCCGGCUAACUACGU
This 492-nucleotide ribosomal RNA is filed under the name uncultured bacterium. RNAcentral describes it as "partial 16S ribosomal RNA". It matches the Rfam family "Bacterial small subunit ribosomal RNA", at positions 28 to 506 of the family's 1533-position model. The record is from RNAcentral.